GAUGAACGCUAGCGGCAGGCUUAACACAUGCAAGUCGAGGGGCAGCGCGAUGUAGCAAUACAUUGGCGGCGACCGGCGCACGGGUGCGUAACACGUAUGGAACUUACCCUUUACUGGGAGAUAGCCCGGAGAAAUCCGGAUUAAUAUCCCAUAAUAAACGAAGUGGCAUCACUUUGUUUGAAAGCUCCGGCGGUAAAGGAUGGCCAUGCGCACGAUUAGCUAGUAGGUGAGGUAACGGCUCACCUAGGCUACGAUCGUUAGGGGGCCUGAGAGGGUUAUCCCCCACACUGGUACUGAGACACGGACCAGACUCCUACGGGAGGCAGCAGUGAGGAAUAUUGCGCAAUGGAGGCAACUCUGACGCAGCCAUGCCGCGUGCAGGAAGAAGGCGCUACGCGUUGUAAACUGCUUUUAACCGGGAGAAGCCCUCCGACGUGUCGGAGGUUGACGGUACCGGAGGAAUAAGCACCGGCUAACUUCGUGCCAGCAGCCGCGGU
This 497-nucleotide ribosomal RNA is filed under the name uncultured bacterium. RNAcentral describes it as "bacterial SSU rRNA". It matches the Rfam family "Bacterial small subunit ribosomal RNA", at positions 28 to 521 of the family's 1533-position model. The record is from RNAcentral.